This 76-nucleotide ribosomal RNA is filed under the name Clostridium hominis. Its description in RNAcentral is "partial 23S ribosomal RNA". It matches the Rfam family "Bacterial large subunit ribosomal RNA", at positions 2852 to 2925 of the family's 2925-position model. Lineage: Bacteria; Bacillati; Bacillota; Clostridia; Eubacteriales; Clostridiaceae. The record is from RNAcentral.
GUUGAUAGGUCAGAGGUGUAAGUGUGGUAACAUAUUUAGCUGACUGAUACUAAUAGGUCGAGGGCUUGACCAAUAA